Molecule: ribosomal RNA, 253 nt
Filed under: uncultured bacterium
Lineage: Bacteria
Description: partial 16S ribosomal RNA
Rfam family: Bacterial small subunit ribosomal RNA
Source: RNAcentral
UACGUAGGGGGCAAGCGUUGUCCGGAUUUAUUGGGUUUAAAGGGUGCGUAGGCGGCCUUGUAAGUCAGUGCUGAAAUAUCCCGGCUUAACCGGGAGGGUGGCAUUGAUACUGCAGGGCUUGAGUAAAGUUGAGGUUGGCGGAAUUGACGGUGUAGCGGUGAAAUGCUUAGAUAUCGUCAAGAACACCGAUAGUGAAGACAGCUAACUAAGCUUUAACUGACGCUGAGGCACGAAAGUGUGGGGAGCAAACAGG